CCGACAGGCGUAGUCGAUGGACAACGGGUUGAUAUUCCCGUACCCGUGUCAGAUCGCCCCUGAUGAAUCAGUUGUACUAACCGUCCUGAAGCACCUUGAUCACCUUCGGGUGACGGUGGUGUGGAUGCACGGGACCUCGGCUGGUAGUAGUCAAGCGAUGGGGUGACGCAGGAAGGUAGUGGGGCCAGUCAGUGGUUGUACUGGUGUAAGCCUGUAGGGCGAGAUCUAGGCAAAUCCGGAUCUCAUGAUGCCUGAGAGGUGAUGCGUAGCCGUUGCGGCGAAUUCCAUGAUCCUAUGCUGCCGAGAAAAGCCUCUAGCGAGAUCUGAUGUGGCCCGUACCCCAAACCGACUCUGG
RNAcentral lists this ribosomal RNA (355 nucleotides) under Tsukamurella paurometabola. Its description in RNAcentral is "bacterial LSU rRNA". It matches the Rfam family "Bacterial large subunit ribosomal RNA", at positions 1402 to 1663 of the family's 2925-position model. RNAcentral also lists the same sequence under 1 other name. Lineage: Bacteria; Bacillati; Actinomycetota; Actinomycetes; Mycobacteriales; Tsukamurellaceae. The record is from RNAcentral.